RNAcentral lists this ribosomal RNA (253 nucleotides) under uncultured bacterium. RNAcentral describes it as "partial 16S ribosomal RNA". It matches the Rfam family "Bacterial small subunit ribosomal RNA", at positions 524 to 776 of the family's 1533-position model. The record is from RNAcentral.
UACGUAGGUGGCAAGCGUUGUCCGGAUUUACUGGGCGUAAAGAGCGCGCAGGCGGUCGUUCAAGUCGCGUGUGAAAGCCCCCGGCUCAACUGGGGAGGGUCACGCGAUACUGAUCGACUCGAAGGCAGGAGAGGGAAGUGGAAUUCCCGGUGUAGUGGUGAAAUGCGUAGAUAUCGGGAGGAACACCAGUAGCGAAGGCGACUUCCUGGCCUGUUCUUGACGCUGAGGCGCGAAAGCUAGGGGAGCAAACGGG